Molecule: ribosomal RNA, 253 nt
Filed under: uncultured bacterium
Lineage: Bacteria
Description: partial 16S ribosomal RNA
Rfam family: Bacterial small subunit ribosomal RNA
Source: RNAcentral
GACGGAGGAUGCAAGCGUUAUCCGGAAUUAUUGGGCGUAAAGCGUCCGUAGGUGGCCGUUCAAGUCUGCUGUCAAAGCUCACAGCUCAACUGUGAAUCGGCAGUGGAAACUGAAUAGCUAGAGAGUGGUAGGGGUAGAGGGAAUUCCUAGUGUAGCGGUGAAAUGCGUAGAUAUUAGGAAGAACACCAGUGGCGAAGGCGCUCUACUGGGCCAUUACUGACACUGAUGGACGAAAGCUAGGGGAGCGAAAGGG